UAGAUAGAAAAAUAAACUGUAAACAGCAAUAAUGUUCAGCAAAGUAAGAUUUACAAAUAAGUCAACAUGACUGAAAUGGUCAGUUGACACCUUUAGGAGUUAUUGCCCUUUAUAGUCAAUUUUGAACCAUUUUUCGUAAAUCUUAGUUAUCUUUUACAAAAAUCUUCUCCUCUGAAACUACUGGGCCAAGUUCAUUAUAGAUAGAGAUAAUUGUAAGCAGCCAGAAUGUUCAGUAAAGUAAGAUUUACAAACACAUCACCAUCACCAAAGCACAAUUUUGUCAUGAAUCCAUCUGCGUCCUUUGUUUAAUAUUCACAUAGACCAAGGUGAGCGACACAGGCUCUUUAGAGCCUCUAGUUUAUUUCCAUAUACAGUCAAGCCUGCUAAAAAUUCACCUCUUUUACACAAAAACCUGAAAAUCAAAUUCUUUCUUUUUUCCAACUGCAGUGGCAGAUCCAGAAAUUUACAUAAGUGGGGGCCCACUGACUGACCUAAGAGGGGGCCGCUCCAGUCACGCUUCAAUGAUUCCCUAUAUAAGCAACCAAAUUUUUUCCCAAAAAAGGGGGGCCCGGGCCCCCCCUCCCCCUAAAUCCGCCUCUGAACUGUUCCCUAUGAUAUAAUCUUUCUAUUUUUAAUGCCAAAUUAGAGUUUUGACCCCAAUCCCACUGAACUUAGAAAAUGAGUGGGGCAUACUAUGAACACAUUAUUGUUUUCUUCUUGAAACUAUUGCAGACUCACUUUUAUUUUAGUGAUUUUUUCAGCGGCUUUUCUAAACAUCAUUAUAAAAUUAAGAAUCGAAAUGGGGAAUAUGUCAAAGAGACAACAACCCGACCAAAGAGCAGACAACAUCCAAUACCACCAAUGGGUCUUCAACACAGGGAGAAAAUCCCACACCCAGAGGUGGUCCUCAACUGUCCCCUUGAAAAAAUUGUGUAUUAGUUUAGUGAAAAUGAACUUCACAAAACAUAAAGGAACUAAAAUGGAAAAAAACAUAAAAGACUAACAAAGGCCAGAGGCUCCUGAUUUGGGACAGUGGCAAAAAUGUGGCGUUGUUUAACAUGUUUGUGAGAUCUCAACCCUCCCCUACAUCUCUAGCCGAUGUAGAAUAAAGAAACACAUAGCAAUACACACAGGGGCGGUUCCAGCCAUUUUAAGGAGGGGGUUCCCAACCCAGGAUAAAGGGGGAGUUCCAACUAUAUGUUCCCAUUCAAAUGCAUUGAUCGGCCA
This 1227-nucleotide long non-coding RNA is filed under the name Mytilus galloprovincialis (Mediterranean mussel). Lineage: Eukaryota; Metazoa; Mollusca; Bivalvia; Mytilida; Mytilidae. The record is from RNAcentral.